AUUAUGCCAGAAAUCUCUCUUAUAAAAUUCCUAGCAUAAAAAAGUUCUCUGUAAUAUAAAGUCUGUACUAAGUUUGAAGAAGUUAUAUUUUUGUGAGUUUUCAGAUUUCUCGAAAGGAAAAUUUCACUUCGUUAAUUAUAGCAAUGUGGUUCACAGGCCGGAGGCGCACUUUGUGCAUCCGGACUGUGUUGCAGUAAAUUUGGUUGGUGUGGUAACACUAAUGAGUAUUGUGGUCCUGGUAAUUGUCAGAGCCAGUGUCCUGGCGGUCCCGGUCCUUCAGGGGACCUAGGCGGUGUUAUUUCAAAUUCCAUGUUUGAUCAAAUGCUUAAUCAUCGCAAUGACAAUGCUUGUCAAGGAAAGAAUAAUUUCUACAGUUACAAUGCAUUUGUUACUGCUGCUGGGUCUUUUCCUGGAUUUGGUACUACUGGGGAUAUCACUGCCCGUAAAAGGGAAAUUGCUGCUUUCCUUGCCCAAACUUCCCAUGAAACUACUGGAGGAUGGCCUACGGCACCAGAUGGACCAUACGCAUGGGGUUACUGUUUCCUUAGAGAGCAAGGUAGCCCUGGCGAUUACUGUACACCAAGUAGUCAAUGGCCUUGUGCUCCUGGAAGGAAAUAUUUCGGACGAGGUCCAAUUCAAAUUUCACACAACUACAACUAUGGGCCAUGUGGAAGAGCCAUUGGAGUGGACCUUUUGAACAAUCCCGAUCUAGUAGCAACAGACCCAGUCAUCUCAUUCAAAUCAGCUAUCUGGUUCUGGAUGACUCCUCAAUCCCCAAAGCCUUCUUGUCACGAUGUCAUCACCGGAAGAUGGCAGCCAUCUGGCGCUGACCAAGCAGCUAAUCGCGUCCCUGGAUUCGGUGUCAUCACAAACAUCAUCAAUGGUGGCCUGGAAUGUGGUCACGGCAGUGACAGCAGGGUCCAGGAUCGGAUUGGAUUUUACAGGAGGUAUUGCGGAAUUCUUGGAGUUAGCCCAGGUGAAAAUCUUGAUUGUGGCAAUCAGAGGUCUUUUGGAAACGGACUAUUAGUUGAUAUUAUGUAACGAUCGACUUCAUCAUAUAAGGCCCCAACUAUAAAUAAAUUUAAUAUGUAUGAAAUUGUAUGAAUUAUGAUUGUAAUAUGAUGGGACCUUGUCUUAUAA
RNAcentral lists this unclassified non-coding RNA (1140 nucleotides) under Hevea brasiliensis (rubber tree). Lineage: Eukaryota; Viridiplantae; Streptophyta; Magnoliopsida; Malpighiales; Euphorbiaceae. The record is from RNAcentral.